This 73-nucleotide transfer RNA is filed under the name Mimivirus LCMiAC01. Its description in RNAcentral is "tRNA-Gly". It matches the Rfam family "tRNA". Rfam says of the family: Transfer RNA (tRNA) molecules are approximately 80 nucleotides in length. Their secondary structure includes four short double-helical elements and three loops (D, anti-codon, and T loops). Lineage: Varidnaviria; Bamfordvirae; Nucleocytoviricota; Megaviricetes; Imitervirales; Mimiviridae. The record is from RNAcentral.
ACUUUCAUAGUUCAAUUUGGAAGAAUAACAGCUCUCCAUGUUGUUGAUUUGGGUUCAAGUCCCAGUGAAAGUA